This 545-nucleotide long non-coding RNA is filed under the name Musa acuminata (dwarf banana). RNAcentral's name for it is "long non-coding RNA (MACU_LNC007114)". Lineage: Eukaryota; Viridiplantae; Streptophyta; Magnoliopsida; Zingiberales; Musaceae. The record is from RNAcentral.
UGGAUUAAAAUCUUGUUAGACUAGAAUAUGUUAUCUAAAAUCCUUUUUUGAUAUUCUUUGAUCUGAAAUUUAAAAUAUAUUAUUCUGAAUGAUUUAAAAUAUGACUAGAAUAUGUUGAAAUUUUAUAUGUUGAAAACAUGAUUUUUAUUUGAAUUUAGAAAGCUAUUUCCUUGUGUUAAAACUUAUCUCCUAGUCCCUCUUUUAAUGUCUUAUGAUUUCUAGUCAAAUUGAGAAUGUUAUUUCUUUGUAUUAAAGCUUUUCUCCUCAUCUAUCUUUUAAUGCAUUAUUAUGUUUUCAUUUAUGUUGUUAAUGGGUAUAUACUAUGACUAGUCCAUGGGCCAGGGCUGGGCCAAUUUUAUGUAAUGCAUGCUAAAUCAUGUAUAAUGUAUAUGACCAGUAGAUGGACUGGCUCAAUCUAGCCCAAUAUUAUUUUUGAACUUGAGCCCAAAUAUUGAUUGAAUUAAACUAGACUUGAUUAGUCUAGAUCAAUUCAGGGUGAUUCCGAAUUGAUUGACUUAUUCAAGUUAGUUUAACCUAAAUUGAAC